AACGCGAAGAACCUUACCUGGGCUUGAACCGCUACUGACCAACGGUAGAAAUAUCGUCUUCCCGCAAGGGACAGUAGUAGAGGUGCUGCAUGGCUGUCGUCAGCUCGUGCCGUGAGGUGUUGGGUUAAGUCCCGCAACGAGCGCAACCCUUACUCGUAGUUGCUACCCGCAAGGGAGAACUCUACGAGGACUGCUCCGGAUAACGGAGAGGAAGGUGGGGAUGACGUCAAGUCAGCACGGCCUUUAUGUCCAGGGCUACACACGUGUUACAAUGCACGGUACAGACUGUUGCGAACCCGCGAGGGGGAGCUAAUCGGACAAAACCGUGCUCAGUUCGGAUUGCAGUCUGCAACUCGGCUGCAUGAAGCUGGAAUCGCUAGUAAUGGCGUAUCAGAUCGACGCCGUGAAUACGUUCCCGGGUCUGACACCCAAGG
Molecule: ribosomal RNA, 434 nt
Filed under: uncultured bacterium
Lineage: Bacteria
Description: bacterial SSU rRNA
Rfam family: Bacterial small subunit ribosomal RNA
Source: RNAcentral